CACUGGCUCAUCUCUGAAGUUUUUCCUGGGCAAAGCCAAGAACCCUCCCAGGCUAAGCCCCAGUUUGGGGGUUCACCUGCCCUGCAUCAAAACCAAGAAGAAACUAAUGAGGCUGGAUCCAAGACAGUGUGGAAUGAAAACCAAAUGCAAAUUGGCUAGAAGGAAGGGCCAGAAUAAACACAAACUGAAGACCCCAAACCAACGGUGUCCAAGCUUGUGCAUGUAUCUGCGCUGUCCCCAUGGGGCCUUCCAACUCUGCUCAAAGCAAUCUCCAGGGCUGUUCUCCAAGGACAAUGGGUGAGUUAGAGAGAAGAUCUCUUUGUGCUUCCUUCUUUGCUUUUUAAAUUUAAGGUGGACAUGAUCUCAGGGCUUUGUACAGAAAACCUCUGAGGGUCAGUUGAGUGACCCACUUACCCUGCCAUUCCCCACCCUGCUGGGGUCCUCCUGCUACUUCAACUCCAUCACCACAGAGACUCAAUUCCUGCGCUCUGAGGUUCAAAUCUGCAUCUGCUGAAGAAUCUUCCAGAACUGCAACUCCCAUCUGCACUGGGAGCAUGUCUGGCCCACACCAGCUCAAGCACUGUGUGAAGGGUCCCAGUUAUUCAGUGUGAAAUUGUGUAAGACUUUCUCCUGGAGACAGGACCUUUGCAAUCACAGCUUGGGGAAUUGUCUUUACAAUAACCACUUCCUCUUAGGGAGUCAGCAGCCUGGGCUCAAAUCCUGCUUGGUCACUAAGAUAGUUUUGUGACUCUAGACAAGUCACAGCACCCCUCUUAGCCUACAUUUCUUCAUCCAUUCAACAAAUAUUCACAUAGCAGCUACCGGCACCAGGAAUAGAGAGGGGAGCAUGAUUGAUAAAUCAUCUUAGAAUUUAUGAUUGCAUUAUGGGAGUUACUCAGUAAAUGAGUUUUUAAAAAUCAGGGGGAGGGGGAAAACCUUUGAAGAACAAUUUGGCAAGAUCUAGAAAAGCUGAAAUUUGACUUCUCUUUGACCCAGUAAGUCUACUCUUAGGUAUAUACCCUAGAGAAAUUCUUAAACAUUCCCACAGGACAAAGAAUGAAUGUAAAAGAAUUUAAAUGACAACUCAUAAGAAAAUGAAAAAUGUGCGAUAUGUUCGUACAAUGGUAUAGAGCAGUAAAAAUGAAUGACCUAGAGCUGCACAUUUCAACAUGGACUAUCUCAUAAGCAUAACUGAAGAAUGUUGCAGAAAAAUAUGUAAAGUUUAAUGCCAUCUGUGUAGAGUUAAAAUGGACAAAUAUUAGAUACUAUUUAGUGGCAAGAGUAUUUUUUACAUGCAUGGGCAUUAAUAAGACCAAAUUAGAUUAGUGCUUUCUUCUGUGGAGGGAGGAAAGAGGAUGGAACUGGGGAGUAAUACAUAGGCGGUAUUAACUGUAUUGAUAAUGUUUUGUAUCUUAACCUACAUUGUGGUUACAUAGUUUUCAUUAUAAUAUUCUUAGGAUUUUGUGUCUAUAUUUUAAAUGUUGCCCUAUAAAAAUUUUAAAAUUUAUUAAAUAAUGAUAAGUGCUCUGAAGAAAAUAAACAUCUGAAGUGAUUGAGAGUGACUGGGGUUUGGUUGGGGGUACUGGAGAUUGGGUGGUCAAGGAAAGUUUCUCAGCAGAGGUACUGGGUUGAGCUGAAUCAUGACUGACAUGAAGGGAGCAGCCAUAACAGUAUCUAGGGGAGGAGCAUUGCAGGUGGAGAGAACAUCUAAUGCCAAGGGUCGUGAAUUGUAAAGGACCUAAGAUUUUACCCUCCUCGCAAGAUAGCAAGGUAGCCUGACUUAGUAGUGUGGAUGCUGACAGAAGACACAAGACUACUGGGUCAGAGCAAGAUAUGUUAUUAUUCACAGCAG
RNAcentral lists this long non-coding RNA (1852 nucleotides) under Homo sapiens (human). RNAcentral's name for it is "HSALNT0115161". The record is from RNAcentral. Lineage: Eukaryota; Metazoa; Chordata; Mammalia; Primates; Hominidae.